CCUACGGGGGGCAGCAGGGGGGAAUAUUGGACAAUGGGGGCAACCCUGAUCCAGCCAUGCCGCGUGUGUGAAGAAGGCCCUCGGGUUGUAAAGCACUUUCAGUGAGGAAGAACGCCUGGUGGUUAAUACCCAUCAGGAAAGACAUCACUCACAGAAGAAGCACCGGCUAACUCCGUGCCAGCAGCCGCGGUAAUACGGAGGGUGCGAGCGUUAAUCGGAAUUACUGGGCGUAAAGCGCGCGUAGGCGGCUUGAUAAGCCGGAUGUGAAAGCCCCGGGCUCAACCUGGGAACGGCAUCCGGAACUGUCAAGCUAGAGUGCAGGAGAGGAAGGUAGAAUUCCAGGUGUAGCGGUGAAAUGCGUAGAGAUAGGGAGGAAUACCAGUGGCGAAGGCGGCCUUCUGGACUGCAACUGACGCUGAGGUGCGAAAGCGUGGGUAGCAAACAGGAUUAGAUACCCCAGUAGUC
RNAcentral lists this ribosomal RNA (465 nucleotides) under Vreelandella stevensii. RNAcentral describes it as "partial 16S ribosomal RNA". It matches the Rfam family "Bacterial small subunit ribosomal RNA", at positions 338 to 795 of the family's 1533-position model. The record is from RNAcentral. Lineage: Bacteria; Pseudomonadati; Pseudomonadota; Gammaproteobacteria; Oceanospirillales; Halomonadaceae.